UCAGAGCGAACGUUAGCGGCGGGCCUAACACAUGCAAGUCGAACGCGAAAGGUCUUCGGACUGAGUAGAGUGGCGCACGGGUGAGUAACACGUAGGUAAUCUACCCUUUGGCGGGGGAUAACGUUCCGAAAGGAGCGCUAAUACCGCAUAAGACCACGGAGUCUCCGGACGCUGUGGGAAAAGGUGGCCUCUUCUUGAAAGCUACCACCGAAGGAUGAGCCUGCGUCCCAUCAGCUAGUUGGUAAGGUAAUGGCUUACCAAGGCGAAGACGGGUAGCUGGUUUGAGAGAAUGAUCAGCCACACUGGCACUGGAACACGGGCCAGACUCCUACGGGAGGCAGCAGUGAGGAAUAUUGGGCAAUGGGCGAAAGCCUGACCCAGCCACGCCGCGUGAGUGAUGAAGGCCCUCGGGUCGUAAAGCUCUGUGGAGAGGGACGAAAACCCUGGUUUCAAAUAGGCUCCAGGCUUGACGGUACCUCUUUAGCAAGCACCGGCUAACUCUGUA
Molecule: ribosomal RNA, 505 nt
Filed under: uncultured bacterium
Lineage: Bacteria
Description: bacterial SSU rRNA
Rfam family: Bacterial small subunit ribosomal RNA
Source: RNAcentral